GCCCCGCGCCCUCGUGACGUCAUCAGCCAGCGCCGCCCUUCGCCAACGGACGCACAUGAGCGUGCCUCAGCGUCACGUGACGCCGGCACCCGUUGCCGGGCAACGGGGACGGGACAGCGUGGCCUAAACUGAGCGCGGGGCUGGGCCUGGGAUUGGGCCUAACCCAGCCCGGCCUGGCUGUUCUCGGCCUCUGUCCCCGGCCUGGGAUAGCCCGGCUGUCCCCUGUUCCCAUCUCAGCCUGAUCCAACUGUCAUCAAACCCUGUUCCUUCCAACUGUCACCAGUCCCUGUCCCCUGUUCCUAUCUUAGUCUGGACCAGCUGUCCCUACCCUUUUCCUCAGCCUGGGCCACCACGGCUCUUCUCUGUCCUUAGCCCUUGUCCACAGCCUCUGUUCCUUGCACGGCUUCAUCCAGCCAUCUCCUGUCCCCAUCCCAGCCUGGUCCAGCUGUCCCCAUUUCUCCUGUCCCCAUUCCUGCCUGGUUGGUCCAGCUGUCCCCAUAUUCCAGUGAUCAGAUGGCUGCAGUAUUUCUCCUAUGAUUGUUGUCCCAAAAAAGUGUGCAAGAACUGAGACAAAAUAUUGGAGCUUCAGAGGCUCACUAAGGUGGCAAUUACCAAGAUGUGUGAAACACAAUUUAUCUACCUGGAAACUGGAAAUCUUGGAGCCAGGCUGGGAGAGCUGGGAAUGUCCAACCUUGAAAAGAGAAAGCUCCAGGGAGACCUCAGAGCCCCUUCCAGUGCCUAAAGGGGCUCCAGGAGAGAUGGAGAGGGACUUGGGACAAGGGAUGGAGUGAUAAGACACAGGGAAUGGCUUCAAACUGAGAGAAGACAGGGUUGGGUUAGGUGAGAUAUUGAACAAAAUUCUUUCCUAGGAGGGUGCUGAGGCCCUGAAAUGGAAGUCCCAGAGAAGCUGUGGCUGUCCCAUCCCUGGCAGUGUCCAAAGCCAGGUUGGACAGGACUUGGUAUAGUGGAAGGUGACCCUGACUGUGGCAGGGUUGGUAUGGGAUGAUUUUCAAGAUUACUUCCAAUGCAAACUAUUCCAGGAUUUCGGGAUCCUCUGUAUCGAGGUAAACCCGGUCCAGCUGUCCCCAGCCCCUGUCCCCAGCCCAGCCUGGUCUGUCUCCAUUCCCUGACUCCUAUUCCCUGUCCUCUUUCCAGCCUUAUCCAACUCUCCCAGCUGUUCCCAUCCCCUGUCCCUCUCCCAUCACCAGUGUCUUCCCACAGCCAGGCAUGAGGGGGAGAUUUUCCUGGUGAUCCAAAGGACAAUCUCCAGCAAGGAGACGUUAAUUCCACCCAUCAGCCUCGUGAUUCCUAAUAUCCCACACUUUGCCUGUCAUUUUUAAAAUGUUUUGCAGGAAAACCAGUCCCAAAGCUUUAAAUUUGCUUGUGGAAGUGAAGAAAAUCCUUAAGGAGCUUGUUUUCCAAAUAAUUUCGUUCUUCCCUGAGAGAAUAAACCCCAUAAACAAAGAGCA
RNAcentral lists this long non-coding RNA (1469 nucleotides) under Cyanistes caeruleus (blue tit). Its description in RNAcentral is "lncRNA (ENSCCEG00000012640.1)". Lineage: Eukaryota; Metazoa; Chordata; Aves; Passeriformes; Paridae. The record is from RNAcentral.